RNAcentral lists this ribosomal RNA (445 nucleotides) under uncultured bacterium. Its description in RNAcentral is "partial 16S ribosomal RNA". It matches the Rfam family "Bacterial small subunit ribosomal RNA", at positions 354 to 796 of the family's 1533-position model. The record is from RNAcentral.
GUGAGGAAUAUUGGUCAAUGGGCGAGAGCCUGAACCAGCCAAAUCGCGUGAAGGAUGAAGGUAUUAUGUAUUGUAAACUUCUUUUAUCGGGGAAUAAAGUGCGGGACGUGUCCCGUUUUGUAUGUACCCGAAGAAUAAGGAUCGGCUAACUCCGUGCCAGCAGCCGCGGUAAUACGGAGGAUCCAAGCGUUAUCCGGAUUUAUUGGGUUUAAAGGGUGCGUAGGCGGACUGUCAAGUCAGCGGUGAAAGUCCAUGGCUCAACCAUGGAAUUGCCGUUGAAACUGUCGGUCUUGAGUGUAGAUGAGGUAGGCGGAAUUCGUAGUGUAGCGGUGAAAUGCUUAGAUAUUACGAAGAACUCCAAUUGCGUAGGCAGCUUACCAGGCUACAACUGACGCUGAGGCACGAAGGUGCGGGGAUCAAACAGGAUUAGAAACCCCUGUAGUCC